AAGUUGUUAUUGUUGACAUUUGAGGGAGAUGUAAAAUUACAUCUUGAAAAAUUUCAUCCUGCAGGGACUCCUCCCAUGGUGGAUAUGAUCUGUUUGGGUACGUCUUUCCUGACUUUGGUCUGAAAAGGUCCAGCUACUACUUUUCUGUGACUCCAAACCAACUGAAUGGGUGGAGUGGGCAAGUCUUUGGGGAGCCUUAGAAAAAAUGUCUCCAAGUUCUUCAUGGCCAACCCUUAACUCUUGCCUUCUCCAAAAACCCAACUUUCCCUACCAACUGACUUGCUGCCUGAAAUUAAAUUAUUAGUAAGUCAUUCCACCCCAUGAAAAAGAAAAAGAUCAAAUGUGUUCACGUCAUCUGGAAGAGAGGUUUUAAUGGAAUUUUCACAGUCAUUCUUCUGUGGAGAGCCCUAUAUUACCAACAUCUGAAGUCAUCUGAGACCACCUGUUGUACACACAGGAAGAAGAAUAGAAACAAAGAAUAAAAUGGAAGAACUCAUUUGCUAUUGGUUGUGUUUCCUAAGCGCCAUGCUUAGAAUGAAGUUCUACUGUAGCAAAAACAUUUCCAGACAUGGAAAGUGACGCCUUAGAGCAGGAGGGAAGGUCAUUUAAGCAGGAUGAGGUAAAAAAGAUGGCCUGGUGAGGGGGAAAAGUGUGUUGAAGAAAAUAAAGGUGGCAGAAUGAAUAAAUGAAUAAAAGGA
Molecule: long non-coding RNA, 698 nt
Filed under: Monodelphis domestica (gray short-tailed opossum)
Lineage: Eukaryota; Metazoa; Chordata; Mammalia; Didelphimorphia; Didelphidae
Description: lncRNA (ENSMODG00000035691.2)
Source: RNAcentral